AAACCUUAGCUAUCAGUUUAUUCAGGGUCUGCUGUGUUCACCUUUUCAGAGUGGAGAUUUAAAAACAUGACUGUUUCUCUGAUAAGAUGUCCAGCAGCUUGGAGUAUUCUCGCCUGUUGAUUGAACUGUAUUUGAAUUUU
Non-coding RNA from Chelonoidis abingdonii (Abingdon island giant tortoise), 140 nucleotides. The record is from RefSeq and is a predicted model, not a curated record. Lineage: Eukaryota; Metazoa; Chordata; Testudines; Testudinidae.